GGAGACGUCCACAGUUCAAAGGAGAGCUAGUAGCCUCUUAGAACAUCCUCUAUCCAUCCACCUUCAAGUGAUCCAGAGUUUAAGCCAUACCCAGGCUGCACCAAGUGGUAUCAGAGCCACUUGAAGGUUAGGGUUUGCAAUUUGACUACUCAGAUCAUUCAUUCCAUCAAACACUUCUCUUAUCUUUCUAUCUGUUGUAAGCCAGCUGAGCCAACCCUGCAAAUCAAAAAAAAAAAAGAAAAGAAAAGAGAUCUCUGAUCCAAAUCAAAAAAAAAUAUAUAGCUGAAGAGUAAUCCAGCUAGCUGAGGAGAAAUCCAGCUCAGGGUGGUAAAGUCAGCUGGUGCCUAAAUCUCUUAAUACUUCCUAUCUGAUUCAUUGGGGUUUUAGUUCUAGAUCUUAAGUGUAGAACUUUGUUUUUCAACUGAACUUGUGGGAAGAGCUGAGACUUGGCGAUUUGAAAACUUGAGUGAGAGAGAGAUAUAAUUUUGUUCCUGGCUUUGUGUUUUCUCUAACUAUUUCAGGAACAAUGAGUGAAGAGAGGCGAGAUGGAAAGCAACCUGAGAGUUCAGGAGAACCGGCUGUCCAGCAAAUCAACCUCAACCAAGUUCAAUUUGAGGCUAUGAUAGCUGAGAUAACCAGAAGAAUGCAAAACACUUACAACCGUGUUCAACAAGCUAAUGAAACUUUACCUGGUGAUAAUGCAGGGCAAGAGAGGGACGCGGUUGCUGCUGGAGUUCAGAGAGCACGCAUUGGACCUAUAAGAGGGCAACGAGUUGAGCUUAGGGGUCGUGGGAUUUAUGGAGAACAUUAUCAAGAAGAUUCAGCUGAUGAAAGUGAUGAUGGAUCUCAGGCUAGUCAUCAUGGUAGAAAUCACAACCGCAGGCGACCAGCUACUGAUAACCUAGGCAAUCUCAAGCUUAGAAUCCCUCCAUUCCAUGGGAAGAAUGAUCCUGAUGCUUACUUAGAGUGGGAGAAGAAGAUUGAACUGGUUUUCAAUUGCCAACAGUUCACUGAGGAGAGGAAAGUGAGACUAGCAGCUACUGAAUUCUGUGGUUAUGCUAUUAGCUGGUGGGAUCAGAUUGCUACUACCAGGAGACGCAAUGGAGAGCCUCAGGUAGCUUCAUGGUUUGAGAUGAAAACUGUGAUGAAGAAGAGAUUUGUUCCUAAUCACUAUGGAAGAGAUCUACACCAGAAGUUGAGAAGGCUUUCUCAAGGAUCUAAGAGUGUAGAGGACUAUCACCAGGAGAUGGAAACACUCAUGUUGAAAGCUGACUUAGAAGAAGAAGUAGAAGCUACUAUGGCUAGAUUCCAAGGAGGUCUUAACAGAGAUAUACAAGAUAGGUUGGAGCUACAAGAGUAUGAGGACAUGGAUGAACUGCUACAUAAGGCUAUUUUGAUUGAGCAGCAGAACAAGAGGAAGAGCUCUACCCGGUCUUCAUACACCCCUGCCUCAAAACCGGCCUACUCCAAGGAAGAUAAGCCAGGGGAUAAGUCCAAAGAAGGGUCUUCUUCAGUGGAGAACAAGAGAGAUGACAAGGGUAAAGGAGUAGCCACACCUACUAAGACCAGGAACAUUAAGUGUUUCAAGUGUCAUGGCUUUGGUCACUAUGCUAAUGAGUGCACCAACAAGAAGGUGAUGACUAUCUUAGCCGACGGGGAGGUGAUAUCUGAAGAGGAGGACGCCGGCCAAGAGUCUGAUGAGGAAGGCGUGGAGUACCCUGUCCGUGGAGAGCUAUUAGUCACCAGGAGACUUCUCAAUGCUCAACCUAAACCCAAAGAAGAUGAGCAAAGGGAAAACUUGUUUCACACCAGAUGCUUGAUUCAAGAAAAGGUUUGUAGCUUGAUCAUUGAUGGAGGAAGUUGUACUAAUGUAGCAAGUGCUGAGUUGGUGGAGAAGUUGGGUCUUCAAGUGUUCAAGCAUCCUAAGCCAUAUCUGUUGCAAUGGAUCAAUGAUGAGGGAGGAUUAAAGAUCACCAAGCAAGUGAAGGUAUUGCUAUCAGUGGGAAAGUACCAGGAUGAGAUCACUUGUGAUGUAGCACCCCUGGAAGCUAGUCACAUCCUUCUUGGACGUCCAUGGCAGUAUGAUAAGAGAUCAGUACAUGAUGGCUUUACCAACAGAUACACUUUUAUCCAUAAGGAGAAACAAGUUACCCUGGCGCCAAUGACCCCUCAGGAGGUACACCAGGAUCAGAUGCAUCUCAAAAUGAAGAGAGGAGAGUCCAAGGCCGCCAGCAAAUCCUUGCUUCUUGAAGAGACCAGCCAGGUAAGUAAACUCAACCUCUUUGCUACUGCUAAAGAUAUCAAAACUGCUGUGAUUGAACAAUCAAAUUUGAUACUAGUAGUUUACAAAGAAUUGUUGAGCUCUACUACUAACCCUGCUCCUGAGACUCCAGAGGAGAUUGAGUGUCUUUUGCAGGAGUAUAGAGAUGUGUUCCCAGAGGACAAUCCCAUAGGUCUGCCGCCUAUUAGGGGAAUAGAGCACCAGAUUGACUUUGUACCAGGAGCUACUUUACCAAACCGUCCAGCAUACAGGACCAACCCUGUGGAGACUAAGGAGCUUCAGAAACAAGUCAAUGAGCUAAUGGAGAAGGGACAUAUCAGGGAGAGUAUGAGUCCUUGUGCUGUACCUGUCCUCUUGGUGCCAAAAAAAGAUGGAAGCUGGAAGCUGGAGGAUGUGUGUGGACUGCAGAGCCAUCAACAACAUAACAGUUAAGUACAGACAUCCUAUUCCUCGCUUAGAUGAUAUGCUAGAUGAGUUACAUGGUUCAUGUGUCUUUUCUAAAAUUGAUUUAAAGAGUGGUUACCACCAGAUUAGAAUGAAAGAAGGAGAUGAGUGGAAAACUGCCUUUAAAACUAAGCUAGGAUUGUAUGAAUGGCUUGUGAUGCCUUUUGGGCUUACUAAUGCACCUAGUACCUUCAUGAGAUUAAUGAAUCAUGUCUUGAGAGCUUUGAUAGGACGAUUUGUAGUUGUUUACUUUGAUGAUAUCCUGAUUUACAGCAAGACUAUGAAAGAACAUGUUAAUCACUUGAAGCAAGUUCUAGAUGUGCUUAGAAAAGAAAAUCUGUAUGCUAACUAUAAGAAGUGCUCUUUUGGCACAGAUAACCUUGUCUUUUUAGGUUUUGUUGUGACUUCACAGGGCAUACAGGUUGAUGAGGAAAAGGUGAAGGCUAUCAGGGAGUGGCCGAUUCCUAAAUCUAUUGGAGAGGUCAGAAGUUUUCAUGGACUUGCUGGCUUCUACCGGAGGUUUGUGAGAGAUUUCAGUACAGUUGCAGCACCCCUGACUGAAGUAGUCAAGAAGAGUGUAGGUUUCACUUGGGGACCAGCACAAGAAGAGGCAUUUCAAAUGCUAAAAGAGAAGUUAACAAGUGCUCCCUUACUUGCACUUCCUGACUUUUCUAAGACUUUUGAAAUUGAAUGUGAUGCAUCUGGUAUUGGAAUUGGAGCUGUGUUGAUGCAGGAUAAGAAACCCAUAGCUUAUUUCAGUGAGAAGCUAGGAGGCGCCACCUUAAACUAUCCUACCUAUGACAAGGAGCUGUAUGCCUUGGUGAGAGCUUUACAAGUGUGGCAACAUUACUUGUGGCCUAAGGAGUUUGUGAUCCAUACAGAUCAUGAAUCCCUUAAACAUCUCAAAGGGCAACAGAAGCUGAACAAGAGACACGCCAGGUGGGUGGAGUUCAUUGAGACCUUUCCUUAUGUCAUUCACUACAAGAAAGGUAAGGAGAACGUAGUGGCUGAUGCACUCUCCAGAAGGUAUACUCUUUUAUCUUCAAUGGAAACUAAACUCUUAGGAUUUGAACACAUCAAAUCUUGCUAUGCUAAUGAUCCUGAGUUUAAAGAUGUGUUUAGAGAAUCUGAGAAACAUGCUAGUGGAAAAUUCUAUCAAGUAAAAGGAUUUCUUUUCUAUGAUAACCGCCUGUGUGUUCCUAGUGGUUCUUUGAGAGAAUUGUAUGUUAGGGAAGCUCACGCAGGAGGGCUGAUGGGACACUUUGGGGUCGCCAAAACACUCUCCACCUUGCAGGAGCACUUCUACUGGCCGAGUAUGAAGAAAGAAGUGGAGCGUGUGUGCUCAAGGUGUGUCGUGUGCAAGCAAGCCAAGUCUAAGGUCCAACCAACAGGUUUGUAUACACCUCUCCCUAUUCCUACUGCACCAUGGAUUGAUAUCUCUAUGGACUUUGUCUUAGGAUUGCCUAGAACUAGGAAAGGAAGAGAUAGCAUCUUUGUGGUUGUUGAUAGAUUUUCUAAGAUGGCUCACUUCAUACCUUGUCAUAAAACUGAUGAUGCAUCUUUGGUAGCUGAUCUAUUCUUUAGAGAAGUUGUUAGAUUGCAUGGUAUGCCUAGGACUAUAGUUUCUGAUAGAGAUACUAAGUUCCUUAGCUAUUUCUGGAAAACUCUGUGGGGAAAGUUGGGAACUAAGCUAUUGUUUUCAACUACUUGUCAUCCCCAAACUGAUGGUCAAACUGAAUCAGUCAAUAGGACAUUGUCUACUCUUUUGCGUGCCAUCAUUAAGAGUAACAUUAGGACAUGGGAGGAUUGUUUACCACAUGUAGAGUUUGCAUAUAACAGAGCAGUGCAUUCAGCUACUAAACUCUCUCCUUUUCAAGUUGUUUAUGGGUUUAACCCAUUGUCUCCUCUUGAUUUAUUUGCUUUACCUGUAAAAGAACAAACUAACCUUGAUGGCAAGCAAAAGGCCGAGUUUGUUUUGUCUUUGCAUGAACAGGUCAGGAAGAACAUUGAGGAGAGGACCAAGAUGUAUGAGAGGCAGAAGAACAAGGGGCGCAAGGAGCUAGUACUUGAACCGGGUGAUCUUGUGUGGAUUCACAUGAGAAAAGAGAGGUUUCCUGUUGAGAGAAAAUCAAAGUUGCUGCCAAGGAAAGAUGGACCUUUCAAAGUGCUGAAGAGAAUCAACAACAAUGCCUACCAGAUUGAUCUUGAAGGGAAAUACACAAUCAGUUCUACUUUCAAUGUUUCUGACUUGGAUCCUUUUAUUGCAGAUGAUUUGGAUUUGAGGUCAAAUCCUUUUAAAGGAGGAGGGGAUGGUGUAGCCAUGAGUAGAGACAUUGGAGAGCUGAGUGAGUCUGAUGAGGGAGAGCCAGACUUGAGAAGAGAAGAGCCAGACUUGAGCAGAGAAGAACCAGAGCCAGACUUGAGCAGAGAAGAACCAGACUUGAGCAGAGAAGAACCAAAUGAGCUAGCCAGCUUGUGGAGUGGACCAGUAACCAGAUCAAGACUGAGAGCACAAGAGGAGAGGCUCCAGGAGAUAGCCAAAACCGUGGGCCUUGGUUCAAGACAAGGAGAUCAAGAUAAACCAGCUUGUUGGUUUAAUUUAAUUACUUUGUAAGGGUUUUGGUUAUUGGGCUUUCAUUUAAUUUAAACCAAAGACAAUUAGGAUUAGAAUUAGAAUUAAACCACCUUGGUUUAGCAUUAGGGUUUUCGAUUUUCACUUUAAGAACAUGGGGGCUGCAGCCUUGUUUUCUCAACUUUCAAUCUAAGAAUUAUUCAGUCAACUUUGUUGUCUUGUCUCUAGCUUUCUCUGUUCAGCUCUAGAACAUUGAUCUCACUUAAAGGAAGGAAUUCCUGUGAAUCCCAUCUUAGACAAUACAAGGUGAUCUUGUGUCUUUGAGUAGCAAACCAUCCUUGGCGCCAACCCAUAGGCUCAGGGAGACGUCCACAGUUCAAAGGAGAGCUAGUAGCCUCUUAGAACAUCCUCUAUCCAUCCACCUUCAAGUGAUCCAGAGUUUAAGCCAUACCCAGGCUGCACCAAGUGGUAUCAGAGCCACUUGAAGGUUAGGGUUUGCAAUUUGACUACUCAGAUCAUUCAUUCCAUCAAACACUUCUCUUAUCUUUCUAUCUGUUGUAAGCCAGCUGAGCCAACCCUGCA
RNAcentral lists this long non-coding RNA (5879 nucleotides) under Brassica napus (rape). RNAcentral's name for it is "long non-coding RNA (BNAP_LNC021199)". Lineage: Eukaryota; Viridiplantae; Streptophyta; Magnoliopsida; Brassicales; Brassicaceae. The record is from RNAcentral.